This 497-nucleotide ribosomal RNA is filed under the name uncultured bacterium. RNAcentral describes it as "partial 16S ribosomal RNA". It matches the Rfam family "Bacterial small subunit ribosomal RNA", at positions 28 to 507 of the family's 1533-position model. The record is from RNAcentral.
GAUGAACGCUGGCGGCGUGCCUAAUACAUGCAAGUCGAGCGAACAGACGAGGAGCUUGCUCCUCUGACGUUAGCGGCGGACGGGUGAGUAACACGUGGAUAACCUACCUAUAAUACUGGGAUAACUUCGGGAAACCGGAGCUAAUACCGUAUAAUAUAUUGAACCGCAUGGUUCAAUAGUGAAAGACGGUUUUGCUGUCACUUAUAGAUGGAUCCGCGCCGCAUUAGCUAGUUGGUAAGGUAACGGCCUACCAAGGCAACGAUGCGUAGCCGACCUGAGAGGGUGAUAGGCCACACGAGAACUGAGACAGGGUCCAGACUACUGCGGGAGGCAGCAGUAGGGAAUCUUCCGCAAUGGGCGAAAGCCUGACGGAGCAACGCCGAGUGAGUGAUGAAGGUCUUCGGAUCGUAAAACUCUGUUAUUAGGGAAAAACAAAUGUGUAAGUAACUAUGCACGUAUUGACGGUACCUAAUCAGAAAGCCACGGCUAACUACGUG